GGCUCAGAUUGAACGCUGGCGGCAGGCUUAACACAUGCAAGUCGAGCGGGCGAGGUUGCUUCGGUAACUGAGCUAGCGGCGGACGGGUGAGUAAUGCUUAGGAAUCUGCCUAUUAGUGGGGGACAACAUUCCGAAAGGGAUGCUAAUACCGCAUACGUCCUACGGGAGAAAGCAGGGGCUCUUUAUGACCUUGCGCUAAUAGAUGAGCCUAAGUCGGAUUAGCUAGUUGGUGGGGUAAAGGCCUACCAAGGCGACGAUCUGUAGCGGGUCUGAGAGGAUGAUCCGCCACACUGGGACUGAGACACGGCCCAGACUCCUACGGGAGGCAGCAGUGGGGAAUAUUGGACAAUGGGGGGGAACCCUGAUCCAGCCAUGCCGCGUGUGUGAAGAAGGCCUUUUGGUUGUAAAGCACUUUAAGCGAGGAGGAGGCUUACCUAGUUAAUACCUGGGAUAAGUGGACGUUACUCGCAGAAUAAGCACCGGCUAACUCCUGUGCCAGCAGCCGCGGUAAUACAG
RNAcentral lists this ribosomal RNA (516 nucleotides) under uncultured bacterium. RNAcentral describes it as "bacterial SSU rRNA". It matches the Rfam family "Bacterial small subunit ribosomal RNA", at positions 21 to 528 of the family's 1533-position model. The record is from RNAcentral.